This is a long non-coding RNA of Astatotilapia calliptera (eastern happy), 1752 nucleotides long. NCBI's taxonomy places the organism in Eukaryota, Metazoa, Chordata, Actinopteri, Cichliformes, Cichlidae. The record is from Ensembl.
AUUGAAAUAAAUGCAGCAGUGAUUUAAAAAGACUUAAAUAACCUGAUGCUUAUGUACCUGUGAUCAUCAUGUGAAAGUCAGGUUUGGUGUAUUGUGUAAUUCUGUGAUUACCACAUUUCUGGCAUCGUGACAGCCCUGCUCUCUCCACCUGCACAGAGAGUGAGACACCUGAUGGUAUGCUGAGUGUAAUCAAUGAGAGAACAGAGUCCAAAAUUUACACAAACGAAAGAAAUAUAUAGUCAGAAUCAAAAUCACUGAUUUCCAUUUCACUCUUUGAGGUCACAAAGAUGCUCUGAGAUCUUCUUCCACAGCCUAACACAACCAUUCCUUUCCCCAGGCCAUCACUGACCACCACGAAACUGGUCAUGUUUGUGCCUCCAGACUCCUUCAUGUCUGUCACGUUUCCUCAGUAUAGACCUGAGUACCCUCAGAAACAUGCCUCAGUAGCUUCAGUAGGUGGAGGUCACUUUGUAGGGCUCUGGCAACGCUCCUCCUCUUCCUCCCUGCAGAAAACCUGUGGAGCUUGAAUCUGCUGCAGAUACUGUCUCAUGCCAUCAGCAGAGAAGAGGACAAUAACAAAAAGUAAACCAGAGAAAAGUCAGGAGGAGGGAUAAGAGCAGAGUGUUACCACUAUGGGGCUUUGCCUUGCUCUUGUCUUCUCAGGAUACAUGUUGUUGCCCUAAUUUGCACCAAUGCAGCUGAAAUGGAUUCAUAGUGGUUUAUGUCUCUGAACUGAUGCUUGCCUCAGUGUCCUGACACAUGCUCAGUCACAGAGGGAAGGAAAGCCCGGAAAGUUGAUUCUUUGCACGUUGAUGUUGCAUUUUCAGUCUCUAAGGCUGAAGAAGUCACAUAGGUGUUUGUCUUUGACUUUGACAUAUUGGGACGUGGCCAGCAGGGGACUGAGCAGAAACAGUUUGUAACAUGGUGUGUAAUAUUCACCUGGCAGGGUCCCCUCGCCCCCGAGGGGGGCUGCUGGUCCUGUUUUCACUCAGCUGCAUGCUGUUCUCGUCUCUGGCAGAGAGUAAGUGCCCUCAUUUACACCUUAGCUUUAUCAUCAUCCAAUAAAACAUUAUGCUUCAUGAGUAUUUUGACACAAAGUGCAUUUUAUGCUGUAAUUAGUGCAGUGAUCAGUGGCUCACCUGCAGCAGAUUUCAAGGAGCUCUGUUCAUUUAAAGGAAUGAUAUAGAUAUUUAAUGUUCAACUUAUUGCACUAAUUUGUUGCACUUUGACUGAUUACAUGAAGAGAACAAACCUUCAUGCCGUGGAGUGUGUAGAACAGACUCACACUGCACAGCAGAAAGCGCUCCAUUAGACUUUUACUUUUGUGGUACCUCUGGGUGUCGGGGACAGCCAGGCAGCACCGCCCAGUGGGGACGGGGUUGGGGACCUCACCUAUACUGCUGUCAUAGGGUCACUGUAAUAUAAUUAAGAGCCAAUCCCCUCCUGUUUCCCACCUGACUAUGGGAACUGCUCCAUCCUCUAAAGCAUGUAUUGUGUUGUCUUUUGUGGUGUCUAAGAUGUCAGGUCAUACAUUUAAAAGGAUUUCCUGAACUUCUUUAGACUAAAAAGAUGUUGAUUUAGGUUUUUUAAAACCUACUUAGAACCCAAACACUGGGCAAAAACAUAGAGUGCAGUACAGAAAAAUAGUCUGAUGCGAGCUGUUCUAUUGAAUGUACAAGUUCAACAAAAACAGGGAGUUCACCUGAAGCUCGUUCGUUCAUAAUGUAAAUUUGAAACGCCAAUUAUUCCCCA